Molecule: ribosomal RNA, 484 nt
Filed under: uncultured Alphaproteobacteria bacterium
Lineage: Bacteria; Pseudomonadati; Pseudomonadota; Alphaproteobacteria
Description: bacterial SSU rRNA
Rfam family: Bacterial small subunit ribosomal RNA
Source: RNAcentral
CAUGCCGCGUGUGUGAUGAAGGCCUUAGGGUUGUAAAGCACUUUCACUGGUGAAGAUGAUGACGGUAACCAGAGAAGAAGCCCCGGCUAACUUCGUGCCAGCAGCCGCGGUAAUACGAAGGGGGCGAGCGUUGUUCGGAAUUACUGGGCGUAAAGGGAGCGCAGGCGGUUCAUUCAGUUAGGCGUGAAAGCCCCGGGCUCAACCUGGGAACUGCGCUUAAUACUGAUGAACUAGAAAGCAGGAGAGGGUAGUGGAAUUUCCAGUGUAAAGGUGAAAUUCGUAUAUAUUGGAAAGAACACCGGUGGCGAAAGCGGCUACCUGGCCUGAUUUUGACGCUGAGGCUCGAAAGCGUGGGGAGCAAACAGGAUUAGAUACCCUGGUAGUCCACGCCGUAAACGAUGACAGCUAGAUGUCGGAGGGUCGCCCUUCGGUGUCGCCGCUAACGCAUUAAGCUGUCCGCCUGGGAAGUACGGUCGCAAGAUUA